RNAcentral lists this ribosomal RNA (252 nucleotides) under uncultured Bacteroidales bacterium. RNAcentral's name for it is "partial 16S ribosomal RNA". It matches the Rfam family "Bacterial small subunit ribosomal RNA", at positions 524 to 776 of the family's 1533-position model. Lineage: Bacteria; Pseudomonadati; Bacteroidota; Bacteroidia; Bacteroidales. The record is from RNAcentral.
UACGGAGGAUGCGAGCGUUAUCCGGAUUUAUUGGGUUUAAAGGGUGCGUAGGCGGACGCUUAAGUCAGCGGUCAAAGCCCGGGGCUCAACCCCGGCCCGCCGUUGAAACUGGCAGUCUCGAGUUGGAGAGAAGUAUGCGGAAUGCGCGGUGUAGCGGUGAAAUGCAUAGAUAUCACGCAGAACUCCGAUCGCGAAGGCAGCCUACCGGCGCGCUACUGACGCUCAUGCACGAAAGCGUGGGUAUCGAACAGG